AGAGAGUGCAAGCGUUAAUCGGAAUUACUGGGCGUAAAGCGCGCGUAGGCGGAUAUUUAAGUCGGAUGUGAAAGCCCCAAGCUUAACUUGGGAACUGCAUUCGAUACUGGGUAUCUAGAGUAUGGUAGAGGAAAGUGGAAUUUCCGGUGUAGCGGUGAAAUGCGUAGAUAUCGGAAGGAACACCAGUGGCGAAGGCGGCUUUCUGGACCAAUACUGACGCUGAGGUGCGAAAGCGUGGGGAGCAAACAGGGAUUAGAGACCCUGGUAGUCCACGCUGUCAACGAUGAGAACUAGACGUUGGGAAGGUUACUUCUUAGUGUCGCAGCUAACGCGAUAAGUUCUCCGCCUGGGGAGUACGGCCGCAAGGUUA
Molecule: ribosomal RNA, 370 nt
Filed under: uncultured organism
Description: partial 16S ribosomal RNA
Rfam family: Bacterial small subunit ribosomal RNA
Source: RNAcentral